Long non-coding RNA from Cyprinus carpio carpio, 3286 nucleotides. The record is from Ensembl. Lineage: Eukaryota; Metazoa; Chordata; Actinopteri; Cypriniformes; Cyprinidae.
CUCGAUGUGGUCUGACCGACCUGGAGGGGAUUUCUGCUCUUUCCUCCUUAAAGUCACUUAAGAGGGGAAAUCCCUCCAUUUUCCAGGCUCUGACUAUCACAAGGCUAUUGAAGCCACAGUUCUGCUUUUGAACUUGAAGACUACAUCCAUUCAAAACAAUGCCACGCACACCAUCUCAUGUGUGGAUACAUUUCCGCUCAGCCAAUCUGGAAGGAAAGGCUGUGUACAGUUGCAAAUACUGUGCAAAGACCUAUGUUAAGAAUGCCACAAAGAUGCAGCAGCAUAUAGCCAAGUGCCCAAAGUUUUCCCAGAACUCAAAACAAGCAACCCCAGACAAGAGUUCAUCUGCUUCCCUCCGAUGUGAAAAUGAUUCAGAUUCAGACACCCUCUCGUCAGCUCCCGGUCACUCUGGAAUCGGAGGAUUGUUUGACUCGAUGGAUGAACGGAGCCAGAGAAAUGCUGAUGAAUGUUUCGCUCGAGCAAUGUAUGCAACUGGCUCACCUCUGAUGCUCACAUCCAAUGUCUACUGGAAGAGAUUCCUAAAUGUCCUUCGUCCUUCAUACAUACCUUCCACCAGUCAUGCUUUAUCUACUCAUUUGCUGGAUGGAGAGUUCAACAGAGUGCAAGCAAAGGUCAAGCAAACCCUUGACAAAGCAGAGUGCAUUUCAGUCAUCUCUGAUGGGUGGUCGAAUGUCCGGGGACAAGGAAUCAUCAACUACAUUGUCACCACCCCUCAACCAGUAUUCUAUAAGAGCACAGACACAAAGCACAACAGACACACAGGAUCCUACAUUGCUGAUGAGCUGAAAGCAGUCAUCAGUGAUCUUGGACCUGAGAAGGUUUGUGCACUUGUAACUGACAAUGCUGCAAACAUGAAGGUUGCUUGGGCACACGUGAAGGAGACCUACCCUCACAUAACAACAAUUGGCUGUGCUGCCCAUGCUCUUAAUCGUCUCCUUAAGGACAUCAUGGCACUGAAUACAAUGAACACACUGUAUAAGACAGCGAAGCAAGUCGUGAAAUAUGUGAAGGGCAAACAGGUAGCUUCAGCAAUCUACCUCUCUAAGCAAAAAGAAAAAAACAAGAACGCCACACUGAAGCUCCCCAGCAUCACUCGAUGGAGUGGGGUUGUCCUCAUGUACCACAGUCUGCUAGAGGGGAAGGAGUCUUUGCAAGAGAUGGCCAUAUCCCAAACUGCAGCCAUUGAAAGUGCCAUCAAGAGAAUCCUGUUAGAUGAUAUGUUCUGGGAAAAAGUGACUGGCAGCCUGAGAAUCCUCAAACCAAUAGCAGCAGCUAUUGCCAAGAUAGAAGGGGAUACUGCCAUCUUGUCAGAUGUUAAAUAUCUGUUUGCUGAGCUCAAAGAAGAAAUGCAAACUGUCCUGCCCGCCUCCCUGCUGCUUCAAGCGGAGGAAACUGCAGUGGUCAAGUCCCUGGAGAAGCACCAAGAGUUCUGCACCAAACCAAUACAUGCAGCAGCAUACAUGCUGGACCCAAAGUAUGAGAAAAGCAUACUCUCUGCUGAAGAGAUCCGCAGUGCUUACACUGUUAUUACUGCCUUGUCUCACCGUCUUGGGCUUGAUGAAGGCAAAGUUCUCGGCAGUCUAGCAAAGUACCGUACCAAGCAAGGUCUUUGGGAAUGGGAUGGGAUAUGGCAGUCGUGCCAGCACAUAUCUGCAUCUACCUGGUGGAAAGGACUUUGUGGAUCUGAGGCCCUUGCACCUGUAGCAUCUAUCAUCCUUCAAAUCCCACCAACAUCAGCCGCCUCUGAGUGCAGCUGGUCACUGUUGGGGAACACGCACACAAAGGUUCGCAACAGGCUCACGAAUGCAAGGGAGGAGAAACUGGUGGCCAUCCGAGCAAACCUACGGCUCUUUGAGCCUGACACAGAGCCAUCCUGGACAAGGCUGGACAGUGACACCGAAGAUGAAGAGGAGUCAGACAUGGAGGAUGUUAAUGAGGUCCAGGAAGAAGCCAAUGAGACCUGAAUAUAUUAAGAGGGAAAAUGCAGAAACCAGAGACUUAAGCAGCUUGGGAGAAAAUGCUUUAAAGCGGUCAUAUGAUGCGAUUUCAAAUUUCCUUUCUCUUUGGAGUGUUACAAGCUCUUGGUGAAUAAAUAAGAUCUGUGAAGUUGCAAAGACUAAAGUCUCAAAUCCAAAGAGAUAUUCUUUAUCAAAGUUAACACUCGUCCACGCCCCCUUAAAAGGGCUCGUUCUAACACGCCCCCACAUAUCUACGUCAGUAUUUGGGAAGAUUUGCAUAACACUGCCCAGAUGUUCAUGCAAAGAAAGAAGGCGUACCUUUUAUUCUCGUUGUAGUAUUGUUGUUGCCGCCGCCGCCAUGACGUAUAGACACUGUGUGUUUCACUGUGAAAGCAAAACUACUUUGUUUGGCCUUCCAAAAGAGGACGAUAUCCGCUUCAUCAUGCCUGGAGCUGAUCCGUGCUGGUUGCUGAGGAAAUACAUCAACUUUGCACUGUGGAUCGCCAAAUCGGCUUUCACCAUGGAUGAAGCGGAGUCCACAUGUGGUUGCUGCAAGCCCAAGGUACGCUCCUUCGUAGAAUCUGCCUCAAGCUGCCGGCCUCUGCUCACUCAAGCCAUCCGCGGUUCACUCUAGACCUCCGGCCUCUGCUCACUCAAGCCAUCUGCGGUUCACUCUAGACCUCCGGCCUCUGCUCACUCAAGCCAUCCGCGGUUCACUCUAUACCUCCGGCCUCUGCUCACUCAAGGCCGCGGUGUGUGACGCUGUUUCAUUUAGAAAGCAAAACUACUUUGUUUGGCCUUCCAAAAGAAGACACGACUAGAAAUCAUGUUUAUAUCACGUUUAUAAUGGGUUUUAUGUGUAUGUCUCGUCGCUCCAGCCGGACAAGGCAUCACAAUAUGUUAAGAGGCAUAACAUUUCUGUCACAAGCUUGAGGCAUCUGGCCAAUCACAAUGCGCUGGAUAGCUGGCCAAUCACAGCACACCUCGCUAUUCAGAGCUAUGAGCUUUGUAAAAAAUAGAGGAGAAACAAUAAUGUACAGUAUGUGGAAAAUAAUGUGUUCAUUGAACCUUAAACCGCAUAAACUCAUUUCAUUAUACCAUAUACACAAAAUAAUGUUCUUUUUAGCAGCAUCAUAGGACCCCUUUAAUUUCAAUUUUGAAUGGGACUUUUUUGGAAGGGGAAGGGUGGGGAAUGCUUUCGUUUUAAAGCAAACAAGAGGAAAUGCGUGUUUUUUUUCAUUCAACAUUUAUGCUUUUGUGUUGCUCAAUAAAAUAAUUAAAGUUCUAAUUACAAUUAAAUCAAAGUC